Long non-coding RNA from Mugil cephalus (flathead mullet), 1406 nucleotides. RefSeq lists it as uncharacterized. The record is from RefSeq and is a predicted model, not a curated record. The transcript is spliced from 3 exons. Lineage: Eukaryota; Metazoa; Chordata; Actinopteri; Mugiliformes; Mugilidae.
CCAACAAAUUUAAAGACUACCUUCUACAAGCUGUGUUUUAAAAGUAAUGCAGUCUGUCCUAGAAGACAUCUGAGUCUAGAUAGAUACUCAUGUACUACAAACACACGUAAACAUGUGUGAGUAGUCUAAAGUCAAAUGUGUGUUAUUUAAAGUAUGACACAACCGACAUCUCUUUCACAGAAGCCGCGUGCUGUUUCCGGGUCCCAGCCUCCCACACCUCCUCCUGACCUUCUCCAGGUCUCAGGUUUGCAGGCCAGCCCUCAGCCUUCCUCUCCUGCCGCAGAGCUGCAGGUCCCCCAGCCUGUGUCUUCCACCCGUGAUUGUGUCCAGCAGGAUACAGUCACACAAAGCGACACAGCACUUAAGAUCCACGGUUACUCUCUUGAAGAGUACGAGAAGAUUUACCACUUUGUGGUGGAUGACAUGCUCAAAUAUAAAACUGGCAGACCUCGGCCCUACACCCUCCAGCAUGGGAGAGUAAUUAAACAGCGCCUGUGCGAAACAUUGGGUCGUCCAAAGAUAACCACAAAAGAAGGGCCUGAUAGACUCUUGGUAAUCGAAGAGUCUCACAGUAAGGAUGUCUACCCACCACUGAUAAAUGUGGAUAUCUCUAGAGAACCCAGACCUUGGGUACUCUUCACUAAGGGGUCAAAAUGAAGAAGAAAAUACUAGUACAACAUCAGAUGAUUGUUGGAAACGAUGUUGUACUAGUAAAGACUCCAAUCACUGUAAAUACAAACCACUUGUGCUGACUUCGGUUUACGUCUUAAACUCCACCUACAACUGGGAGAUUUAAAAAAAACACUUCAGCCUGACUCCACCUACAUCCAGCCAGCAGCAGUCUCAAGAUCCUCGUCCAUCCAACCAGUCUCUGCUCCAACAUCUAGGCCGCAAAUAAUAAAAGACACCGACAACAUCAAGUCCAAGUCCUCUUGCCUCAACUCCUACUGCAAGACAUCAGCAUCUGCUGAAUAUCCACAGCCUCCUACCAGCCUCCUCCAUCAUUUUCAACUUGUGUUCUCCGUAACAACGAGCUUCAAGACCAGUCCACCUGCUAUCACCAGCUGUAACAGCAGCCUCCAGCCAGACUCCAAACAUCAGUCCACAAGGUCGACCUCCGCUCCCAGCCUCCUACAACUUCUCCUGACCUUCUCCAGGUCUCAGGUUAAAAGCCCAGGCCACAGUCUUCCUCUCCCAACCCAGAGACAUGCUCAAGUAAGUUUGUAAAAUACAGCUGGAUUUUAAACCAUAGUGAUGAGACUGCAAAUACAUAUAUAGACACCAAGAAUCAAAAAGUCACUACCAAAACUGUUCUCCAGCUUCAACAACCAUCCGAAACGUCUGUCUCUGCCUCCAGUGUCCACCUGCUCCUUCCAGCCUCCUUCCUGCCAUCAUCCACAGCUUCC